UCCAUAGGUUAAUGAGGCGAACCGGGGGAACUGAAACAUCUAAGUACCCCGAGGAAAAGAAAUCAACCGAGAUUCCCCCAGUAGCGGCGAGCGAACGGGGAGGAGCCCAGAGCCUGAAUCAGCAUGUGUGUUAGUGGAAGCGUCUGGAAAGGCGCGCGAUACAGGGUGACAGCCCCGUACACAAAAGCGCAUGUGCUGUGAGCUCGAUGAGUAGGGCGGGACACGUGGUAUCCUGUCUGAAUAUGGGGGGACCAUCCUCCAAGGCUAAAUACUCCUGACUGACCGAUAGUGAACCAGUACCGUGAGGGAAAGGCGAAAAGAACCCCGGCGAGGGGAGUGAAAAAGAACCUGAAACCGUG
Molecule: ribosomal RNA, 359 nt
Filed under: Salmonella enterica
Lineage: Bacteria; Pseudomonadati; Pseudomonadota; Gammaproteobacteria; Enterobacterales; Enterobacteriaceae
Also listed under: 2 other names
Description: bacterial LSU rRNA
Rfam family: Bacterial large subunit ribosomal RNA
Source: RNAcentral